UUCCAUGUAGCUCAGCUGGUAAAGCAUCUGCCUGCAAUGCAGGAGACCCUGGUUCCACUCCUGGGUGGGGAA
RNAcentral lists this transfer RNA (72 nucleotides) under Bos taurus (domestic cattle). It matches the Rfam family "tRNA". From Rfam's summary of the family: Transfer RNA (tRNA) molecules are approximately 80 nucleotides in length. Their secondary structure includes four short double-helical elements and three loops (D, anti-codon, and T loops). Lineage: Eukaryota; Metazoa; Chordata; Mammalia; Artiodactyla; Bovidae. The record is from Rfam by way of RNAcentral. RNAcentral also lists the same sequence under 2 other names.